Molecule: ribosomal RNA, 660 nt
Filed under: Triticum aestivum (bread wheat)
Lineage: Eukaryota; Viridiplantae; Streptophyta; Magnoliopsida; Poales; Poaceae
Description: partial small subunit ribosomal RNA
Source: RNAcentral
AUGCCUAAGGAUCUUGGCAACCUUGGGAUCCCAAACCUUAGACUGAUCAACAUAGCCUUGCGUGCUAGAAGGCCUUGGUUGGAGCACACGGUAGCUGAGAAACCUUGGCAGGAGUUCAACAUCUAGGUGUCUGCAGAAUCAUUAGUGAUCUUUAAUGCCGCCACUAGAUCUGUCAUUGGGGACGGUAGGUCCGCUCUCUUCUGGACUGAUUGGUAGCUCCCAAAAGGCCGCAUCUGCGGCAUCACACCAUGCCUAUUCGCCUCUGUUCAGACUAGGGCGGUUCGAUCCCGCACGGUGAGAGAAGGGGUGCGAGGAGGCUGGUGGAGGGAUGUUAGCCCGAAUCUCAAUGUGGACGCACUCCGGGAGUUUCUCCACAAGCUGGAACAGACCAUGCCUAUUCGCCUCACACCAUGCCUAUUCGCCUCUGUUCAGACUAGGGCGGUUCGAUCCCGCACGGUGAGAGAAGGGGUGCGAGGAGGCUGGUGGAGGGAUGUUAGCCCGAAUCUUAAUGUGGACGCACUCCGGGAGUUUCUCCACAAGCUGGAACAGACCAACAUCAUCAUGCUUGAGGAGGGAUCAGUCGAUGCGCUGGUAUGGGCGUUGGAGGGUGACCACUGCUUCUCAGCUCGGGCAGCCUACAUGGCUCUCUUUGGGCUGUAA